CUCUCACGUCAGCCAGACUGAAAGGCAGCGUGUUCUCAUGGCUCCCAGAUGGAUCCUGCAGGUCUGGGUAUCCCAGCUAUGCUCAAGGCAGAAAGACACACAAAGGAAUACCUCAUCUGCACCUGUCCAGUUCAACAGGAAAACUGAAACUUCCCAUGUACUUACUAGCAGACCGUCUCUCAAGUCUUCUUAUCUCGGGCUGAAAGCCAUGGAAACUUCAACUCCUCAAGGACACUGGAAGUUAUGUGUGGAUACCCUGACCAGAAAUGAGGUGCUGGGUACAUACAGAGUCACCACUGAGAGGGCUAGGACAUUGCAACUUACACAGAACUGGGACUCUGGAUGUGAGAGCCGGGCAGAUGGAAGACACCUGCGUUGUGGCCGACUAAGAUUCUCACUACUCAGGAGCAAAAAUGGGAGUAGCCCAAUUCAGUAUAAUGGAAUCAGAUUGCUCAUGCAUGGAUGAUCCAUAAUGGCGAAAUACAAGUUUUCACAACAGAAGAGUGGUGUGACUGUAUGGUGAUGAUGAUGAUGAUUUUGAAUUUGGCGAUGUAAACUAAAGUUCCUGUGACAGUGAAAUGGAGCAAGAAUUGACUGAUACAGACACAGGGAAUGCAGACCUCCUUGAUCAGAUGAUGAAGAAUACAGCAAUGUGAGUGCAUAUUUGACUAGUUGAAAUGUUGCAAAAUGGCCAUGCAACUAAAUGGAACAGUGUAAUGUUAAAACUAGGUCCAAAAUAUAGUAAGGAUCUUGGCAGGGAUGAAACCUGUUGGACAGAAUGCCAGCACUGCCACUUGGUGUUUGCAAUCAUAACAGAUGAAAUGCUACAAAAUAUUGUGAAAUACACAAAGGCUGUAAUACAAGUAAAAUGUUCCAUAUGCACCAGUAGCCAUAUUAAAAAAGUUUUUAUUAUGACACCUCACUAGCUGAAUUGAAAGCAUUCAUAAGGCUACUGUAUUUAGCAAGGAUUUCUCAUAGUAAUUGCAAGAAUGUAAAACUUAUGGAAAACUGAUGGGUCAAAAUAUGGCAUAAAAAUUUAUGCCCUUGUAGAUGCAAAGACUUAUUAUGCUUUCAAUUUAGACAUUUAUCAUGGAACUCAGCCAUCAGGUCCUUAUUUGUAUAGUAGUAAACCAAAUGAUGUUGUGAACAGACUUGUUGUUCCCAUGUCCCAAACUAAUCAGAAUAUGACAUGUGACAAUUGCCUUGGCAGUUUUCAAUUGAUGUUACAUUUGCUAACAGAGUACAAGUUGACCAGUACAGGAACUGUACACAGGAG
This is a long non-coding RNA of Fukomys damarensis (Damara mole-rat), 1276 nucleotides long. RefSeq lists it as uncharacterized. The record is from RefSeq and is a predicted model, not a curated record. Lineage: Eukaryota; Metazoa; Chordata; Mammalia; Rodentia; Bathyergidae. The transcript is spliced from 3 exons.